ACUCCUACGGGAGGCAGCAGUGAGGAAUAUUGGACAAUGGGUGGAAGCCUGAUCCAGCCAUCCCGCGUGCAGGAAGACGGCCCUAUGGGUUGUAAACUGCUUUUAUCUGGGGAUAAACCUACUUACGUGUAAGUAGCUGAAGGUACCAGAAGAAUAAGCACCGGCUAACUCCGUGCCAGCAGCCGCGGUAAUACGGAGGGUGCAAGCGUUAUCCGGAUUUAUUGGGUUUAAAGGGUCCGUAGGCGGACUGAUAAGUCAGUGGUGAAAUCCGACAGCUUAACUGUCGAACUGCCAUUGAUACUGUUAGUCUUGAGUAAGGUUGAAGUGGCUGGAAUAAGUAGUGUAGCGGUGAAAUGCAUAGAUAUUACUUAGAACACCAAUUGCGAAGGCAGGUCACUAAGUCUUAACUGACGCUGAUGGACGAAAGCGUGGGGAGCGAACAGGAUUAGAAACCCUGGUAGUCCCA
Molecule: ribosomal RNA, 466 nt
Filed under: uncultured organism
Description: partial 16S ribosomal RNA
Rfam family: Bacterial small subunit ribosomal RNA
Source: RNAcentral